RNAcentral lists this ribosomal RNA (442 nucleotides) under uncultured bacterium. RNAcentral's name for it is "partial 16S ribosomal RNA". It matches the Rfam family "Bacterial small subunit ribosomal RNA", at positions 338 to 795 of the family's 1533-position model. The record is from RNAcentral.
CCUACGUGUGGCAGCAGUGGGGAAUAUUGGGCAAUGGGCGCAAGCCUUACCCAGCAACGCCGCGUGAAGGAAGAAGGUUUUCGGGUUGUAAACUUCUUUUAAGAGGGAAGAGCAGAUGACGGUACCUCAUGAAUAAGCCACGGCUAACUACGUGCCAGCAGCCGCGGUAAUACGUAGGUGGCAAGCGUUGUCCGGAUUUACUGGGUGUAAAGGGCGUGCAGCCGGGAAGACAAGUCAGAGUUGAAAUCCCCCGGCUCAACCGCGGAACUGCUUUUGAAACUGUUGUUCUUGAGUACCGGAGAGGUCAUCGGAAUUCCUUGUGUAGCGGUGGAAUGCGUAGAUAUAAGGAAGAACACCAGUGGCGAAGGCGAAUAACUGGACGGCAACUGACGGUGAGGCUCGAAAGCGUGGGGAGCAAACAGGAUUAGAUACCCUAGUAGUC